RNAcentral lists this ribosomal RNA (649 nucleotides) under uncultured bacterium. RNAcentral's name for it is "bacterial SSU rRNA". It matches the Rfam family "Bacterial small subunit ribosomal RNA", at positions 253 to 916 of the family's 1533-position model. The record is from RNAcentral.
UGAGGUAACGGCUCACCAAGGCGACGAUCUGUAGCCGGUCUGAGAGGAUGAUCGGCCACACUGGGACUGAGACAUGGUCCAGACUCCUACGGGAGUUAGCAUCAGGGAAUCUUGCGCAAUGGGCGAAAGCCUGACGCAGCGACGCCGCGUGAGGGAUGAAGGCCUGCGGGUCGUAAACCUCUGUCAGAGGGGACGAACACAAUGACGGUACCCUCUGAGGAAGCCCCGGCUAAUUACGUGCCAGCAGCCGCGGUAAUACGUAGGUGGCGAGCGUUAUCCGGAUUUACUGGGCGUAAAGAGCGCGCAGGCGGUCGUGCAAGUCGGAUGUGAAAUCCCCCGGCUUAACGGGGGAAGGUCAUUCGAUACUGCUCGACUUGAAGGCGGGAGAGGGAAGCGGAAUUCCCGGUGUAGUGGUGAAAUGCGUAGAUAUCGGGAGGAACACCAGUGGCGAAGGCGGCUUCCUGGCCCGUUCUUGACGCUGAGGCGCGAAAGCUAGGGGAGCAAACGGGAUUAGAUACCCUGGUAGUCCACGCCCUAAACGAUGUCAACUAGUUGUCGGGAGGGUAACCCUCUUGGUAACGCAGCUAACGCGUGAAGUUGACCGCCUGGGGAGUACGGUCGCAAGAUUAAAACUCAAAUGAAUUGACGG